Molecule: long non-coding RNA, 644 nt
Filed under: Heterocephalus glaber (naked mole-rat)
Lineage: Eukaryota; Metazoa; Chordata; Mammalia; Rodentia; Bathyergidae
Description: lncRNA (ENSHGLG00000047935.1)
Source: RNAcentral
CUGCCAUCUGUGGUGGCCUAGAGAAAAUGAAAAUGACAGGGUUCCAGAAUUUUUGAGGCCACGUGGUGGCACCUUGGACAUAACCAAUAGGCAGCAAGGCUAGAGUAGCAACAAAAAAGGCCUGACUCACUGGGAUUUGUGACUUCAGGCCAAAGUACCAUCAUCUGCUGAGAGGAAGCAAAGCAUAAAUAGGAAGCCUACUUAUGGUGAUGGGCAAAGGAGCUCUGCUUGGAUCCUGCUAUUACAGAAUUGUCAAAAGGAACAUUCCUCCAACCGCUUACAUUUUGUAGUAUAUUUGAGCAAAACAACACGAUUCCCAAAUCAGCCACUCCAACCAAGGAUGUGAUCUGACAGCACUUAUUCAAAAACAGAGAGGUUAGGGUUUGAAUUGGUGAAAUGAAUAAAGCAGAAGGUCCUGUCCAAUCUAAUGUGAGUAGAACAAGAAAGCACAGUAGUGUUGGAUUUGCCCUCUCUCUGUCUGACGUGUGAGCUGUGACAUCCAUCUUCUCCUGCCUGUGGUGCUCCUGGUUUCCUGUCAUUCAGACCUCCUGGAAUCUACACCAUUGCUUCUCCAGCUGUGAAGGCCUCAAAACAAACAACACCACCUUUUGUGGGCCAUCAGCUUACAGGCAGCAGAUCGUGGG